This 628-nucleotide ribosomal RNA is filed under the name Bacillus sp. (in: firmicutes). Its description in RNAcentral is "bacterial SSU rRNA". It matches the Rfam family "Bacterial small subunit ribosomal RNA", at positions 845 to 1473 of the family's 1533-position model. The record is from RNAcentral. Lineage: Bacteria; Bacillati; Bacillota; Bacilli; Caryophanales; Bacillaceae.
GCUGAAGAAAAAGCAAUUAAACACAACGCAUGGGGUGUACGGACGCAAGACUGAAACUCAAAAGGAAUAGACGUGGGCCCGCACAAGCGGUGGAGCAUGUGGUUUAAUUUGAAGCAACGCGAAGAACCUUACCAGGUCUUGACAUCCUCUGACAAUCCUAGAGAUAGGACGUCCCCUUCGGGGGCAGAGUGACAGGUGGUGCAUGGUUGUCGUCAGCUCGUGUCGUGAGAUGUUGGGUUAAGUCCCGCAACGAGCGCAACCCUUGAUCUUAGUUGCCAGCAUUCAGUUGGGCACUCUAAGGUGACUGCCGGUGACAAACCGGAGGAAGGUGGGGAUGACGUCAAAUCAUCAUGCCCCUUAUGACCUGGGCUACACACGUGCUACAAUGGACAGAACAAAGGGCAGCGAAACCGCGAGGUUAAGCCAAUCCCACAAAUCUGUUCUCAGUUCGGAUCGCAGUCUGCAACUCGACUGCGUGAAGCUGGAAUCGCUAGUAAUCGCGGAUCAGCAUGCCGCGGUGAAUACGUUCCCGGGCCUUGUACACACCGCCCGUCACACCACGAGAGUUUGUAACACCCGAAGUCGGUGAGGUAACCUUUAGGAGCCAGCCGCCGAAGUGGACAGAAUU